This 542-nucleotide ribosomal RNA is filed under the name Coniochaeta fasciculata. RNAcentral describes it as "eukaryotic LSU rRNA". The stretch from base 165 to 318 matches the Rfam family "5.8S ribosomal RNA". The record is from RNAcentral. Lineage: Eukaryota; Fungi; Ascomycota; Sordariomycetes; Coniochaetales; Coniochaetaceae.
GCGAGGCUACUUAAACCAUCGCGAACUCGUCCAAGUUGCUUCGGCGGCGCGGCCUCCCUCACGGGGGCGCCGCAGCCCCGCCUCUCCGGAGGUGUGGGGCGCCCGCCGGAGGUACGAAACUCUGUAUUAUAGUGGCAUCUCUGAGUAAAAAACAAAUAAGUUAAAACUUUCAACAACGGAUCUCUUGGUUCUGGCAUCGAUGAAGAACGCAGCGAAAUGCGAUAAGUAAUGUGAAUUGCAGAAUUCAGUGAAUCAUCGAAUCUUUGAACGCACAUUGCGCCCGCUAGUACUCUAGCGGGCAUGCCUGUUCGAGCGUCAUUUCAACCCUCAAGCCCUGCUUGGUGUUGGGGCCCUACGGCUGCCGUAGGCCCUGAAAGGAAGUGGCGGGCUCGCUACAACUCCGAGCGUAGUAAUUCAUUAUCUCGCUAGGGACGUUGCGGCGCGCUCCUGCCGUUAAAGACCAUCUUUAACUCAAGGUUGACCUCGGAUCAGGUAGGAAUACCCGCUGAACUUAAGCAUAUCAAUAAGCGGAGGAAAAGAAA